CCUACGGGAGGCAGCAGUGGGGAAUAUUGCGCAAUGGGCGAAAGCCUGACGCAGCGACGCCGCGUGAGGGAUGAAGGUCUUCGGAUCGUAAACCUCUGUCAGCAGGGAAGAACGGUCACUGUGCUAAUCAGCAGUGAAUUGACGGUACCUGCAAAGGAAGCAACGGCUAACUCCGUGCCAGCAGCCGCGGUAAUACGGAGGUUGCGAGCGUUAAUCGGAAUUAAUGGGCGGAAAGCGCUCGUAGGCGGUAUGUCAAGUCAAGGGUGAAAUCCCCGGGCUCAACGUGGGGACUGCCUUUGAAACUGGCAAACUGGAGUGAGUGAGAGGAUAGUGGAAUUCCAGGUGAAGGAGUGAAAUCCGUAGAUAUAUGGAAGAACAUCAGUGGCGAAGGCGACUAUCUGGCACAUAACUGACGCUGAGGGGCGAAAGCGUGGGUAGCAAACAGGAUUAGAUACCCGGGUAGUC
RNAcentral lists this ribosomal RNA (465 nucleotides) under uncultured bacterium. RNAcentral's name for it is "partial 16S ribosomal RNA". It matches the Rfam family "Bacterial small subunit ribosomal RNA", at positions 338 to 795 of the family's 1533-position model. The record is from RNAcentral.